UAUGUCUCUGGGUCUAUUUUGUUCAUCAGUUUAUUUCAUUCAUUAGAUUCCACAUAAGAGUGAGAUCAUAUGAUACUUGUCUUUCUCUGACUGGCUUAUUUCCUUAGCGUAAUAUUCUUCAGGUUACUCCAGGCUGUCUCAAGGGAUAAGAAACGCUUCUUUUUGU
Molecule: long non-coding RNA, 166 nt
Organism: Pipistrellus kuhlii (Kuhl's pipistrelle)
Lineage: Eukaryota; Metazoa; Chordata; Mammalia; Chiroptera; Vespertilionidae
Exons: 3
Source: RefSeq, a predicted model, not a curated record